UAGUCUUCCACAGCUUUCUUGAACUGCAUCUAUCCUUCAAAAGGAAGAUUUGGGUUCAUGUUUGCGGUUCAAUAAAGCUGUGGGAAAUUA
RNAcentral lists this microRNA precursor (90 nucleotides) under Vriesea carinata. RNAcentral's name for it is "miR396 stem-loop (vca-MIR396)". Its record names the gene vca-MIR396. Lineage: Eukaryota; Viridiplantae; Streptophyta; Magnoliopsida; Poales; Bromeliaceae. The record is from miRBase by way of RNAcentral.